GUUUUAAUAAUUUAAUAAAAAUAUUGGUCUUGUAAAUCAAAAAUAGUUUAAAACUUUAAAACU
This 63-nucleotide transfer RNA is filed under the name Longitarsus nigrofasciatus. Its description in RNAcentral is "tRNA-Thr". The record is from RNAcentral. Lineage: Eukaryota; Metazoa; Arthropoda; Insecta; Coleoptera; Chrysomelidae.